CAAGAGAUAGUUUAUUUAAAAAUAUGAACUUUGGGAGUUUAAGAUAACUAGUUUUGG
RNAcentral lists this transfer RNA (57 nucleotides) under Halicryptus spinulosus. Its description in RNAcentral is "transfer RNA-Pro". Lineage: Eukaryota; Metazoa; Priapulida; Priapulimorpha; Priapulimorphida; Priapulidae. The record is from RNAcentral.